AGUGAACGCUGGCGGUAGGCCUAACACAUGCAAGUCGAACGGCAGCACAGUAAGAGCUUGCUCUUACGGGUGGCGAGUGGCGGACGGGUGAGGAAUACAUCGGAAUCUACUUUUUCGUGGGGGAUAACGUAGGGAAACUUACGCUAAUACCGCAUACGACCUACGGGUGAAAGCAGGGGAUCUUCGGACCUUGCGCGAUUGAAUGAGCCGAUGUCGGAUUAGCUAGUUGGCGGGGUAAAGGCCCACCAAGGCGACGAUCCGUAGCUGGUCUGAGAGGAUGAUCAGCCACACUGGAACUGAGACACGGUCCAGACUCCUACGGGAGGCAGCAGUGGGGAAUAUUGGACAAUGGGCGCAAGCCUGAUCCAGCCAUACCGCGUGGGUGAAGAAGGCCUUCGGGUUGUAAAGCCCUUUUGUUGGGAAAGAAAAGCAGCAGGUUAAUACCCCGCUGUUCUGGCGGUACCCAAAGAAUAAGCGCCGGCUAACUUCGUGC
Molecule: ribosomal RNA, 493 nt
Filed under: uncultured bacterium
Lineage: Bacteria
Description: partial 16S ribosomal RNA
Rfam family: Bacterial small subunit ribosomal RNA
Source: RNAcentral